RNAcentral lists this long non-coding RNA (626 nucleotides) under Homo sapiens (human). RNAcentral's name for it is "non-protein coding lnc-AHR-8:3". Lineage: Eukaryota; Metazoa; Chordata; Mammalia; Primates; Hominidae. The record is from RNAcentral.
GCUUCUUAUUAAUAGUAAUAAAAUGUUCAUUCAUUAACUCUCUCAUGCCUGCAUACCAGCUAUAGUAACUGUCUUUGCCCCCAAGUUAUGCAGUCUUUAUAAAGUCGUUCAGUAGCAGGGCAAUGAGUUGGGAAAACUGAUAUUGCAUCUGUAGCAUCAGAAAAGUUCAGAAGGACUGAGCUAGUUUGCGAAACCACAGCACACUUUGGCAAAGAGGGAAUGCACAACAAAACGGAAAUGAGGUCUUACUGUGUUGCCCAGGCUGGUAUCAAACUCCAGUGAUCAAGUGGUCCUCCUACCUCAGCCUCCCAAACAGAUAUGACAGCUGCAUAGAUUCAACCUACUAUGAAAAGCCAAAACAUGGAAUAUUACACUAAUUAAACGGUUACACAACAGAACAUGGAAUGUGCGACACUUCAUCUUGGGAUGCAAAUUUUUGUGCUAAAAAAAACUGAGAAAAACAAAAAGAAAAACAUGUAUUUCUGAGGAACUUGUUUUUAUAUCUGGCAUAAAUGAGAAAAAGCUAAUUAAAACUAUUAAUUAUCAGAAAAUUGAAGAUAAAGUUGAAGAGCCUAUACCAACCAAAGUUGAAUAAAUGGCAAAAUAUAAUAUAGAUGAGUUACUCU